RNAcentral lists this transfer RNA (76 nucleotides) under Candidatus Poribacteria bacterium. RNAcentral's name for it is "tRNA-Met". It matches the Rfam family "tRNA". Rfam says of the family: Transfer RNA (tRNA) molecules are approximately 80 nucleotides in length. Their secondary structure includes four short double-helical elements and three loops (D, anti-codon, and T loops). The record is from RNAcentral. Lineage: Bacteria; Candidatus Poribacteria.
GGCUUCGUAGCUCAGCGGUUAGAGCGAACGACUCAUAAUCGUUAGGUCGUCGGUUCGAAUCCGACCGAAGCCACCA